AGCCAAUGGGCCAUGGCUGGCUUCCCACAGUACCUGGCUUCCUAACCUCCCACUCCACCUCCCCAUCACAGCCCAGGGACUGUGGAGAGCAGCGGAAUUAUCACAGAGCAUCCUAGAAUCCAUGUUUAUGCGUGAAUUUUACCAUCAAAGACUACUCAGAGGAGAACUUUAAGAAACGUGAAGGCGGAAUUUCCCAACAAAGAGGGUCGAGGUUCGGAUUCCUGUGUCCUGAAGUCUGCUCCACAACCUUGUCCAACGCAGGCUCCAUCUCGGCUGGGGGUGGGGAAAGACCCACUGCUUCCGGUGUGGGUGGAGCCAUGCCUGCUGGCACCGCCUCCCACUCAGUGACCUCGCAGGAUGACUGACAGCCACCUCCACGGCAUUGCAGUGUCUGCGAUGGUAAUAGCUCAAAAGAUGGGCUUGUCCUGAAUUCCAGGGAUCUUACUGAUGUCAGGCUUGGUCUGCGUUUGACGCUGUCACCCUCGGAUGGACAAGGUUAGAUCUUCUAUCUUCAGCUGAAACGCUGUGGUACAGGACAGUUCCGGGAGGUUCCUGCAAUAGCUGCCCAGGCCAGCAUCGCAGGUGUGCAAACGCAGGAAGAACGCUCUCUCCAGCCAUGCCAGCCCCCGGCACAACUGCCGUGGCGUGGGCCUGGAGUGUCAGGCGUGGAUUUUCUGCUGCACUGUGGACUGUUCUUGGCCGAGACGUCCUUUGGGCUCUCUAGGUGCAGGACAUUUUCCUAGUGGCAUCCGUGUUGUUCUCCAGCCCUCUGGCCCAUGGGUCCCUCCCCCAGCGAUGCUCUGUCUUACCUGCCACAGGAUUCACUCCUUUGUUCAUUUAUCCCUUCCAUAGCUGAGUGACGAAGAGUGACGGAGGUCCCUGCUCUCACGGACUUGAUAUUCCCGUAAAAGGCAGCAAUUAAUGAAUAAAGCAAACAAAUUA
This is a long non-coding RNA of Fukomys damarensis (Damara mole-rat), 942 nucleotides long. RefSeq lists it as uncharacterized. The transcript has 4 exons. Lineage: Eukaryota; Metazoa; Chordata; Mammalia; Rodentia; Bathyergidae. The record is from RefSeq and is a predicted model, not a curated record.